GUCAGAGUUUGAUCCUGGCUCAGAUUGAACGCUGGCGGCAUGCUUUACACAUGCAAGUCGAACGGUAACAGGCCGCAAGGUGCUGACGAGUGGCGAACGGGUGAGUAAUGCAUCGGAACGUGCCCAGUCGUGGGGGAUAACGCAGCGAAAGCUGCGCUAAUACCGCAUACGAUCUAUGGAUGAAAGCGGGGGACCGUAAGGCCUCGCGCGAUUGGAGCGGCCGAUGUCCGAUUAGCUAGUUGGUGGGGUAAUGGCUCACCAAGCCGACGAUCUGUAGCUGGUUUGAGAGAACGACCAGCCAC
Molecule: ribosomal RNA, 302 nt
Filed under: uncultured Hydrogenophaga sp.
Lineage: Bacteria; Pseudomonadati; Pseudomonadota; Betaproteobacteria; Burkholderiales; Comamonadaceae
Description: partial 16S ribosomal RNA
Rfam family: Bacterial small subunit ribosomal RNA
Source: RNAcentral